AUGAGUAAGUCUUCAAGAGUUCUUUCAUG
RNAcentral lists this non-coding RNA (29 nucleotides) under Cricetulus griseus (Chinese hamster). Lineage: Eukaryota; Metazoa; Chordata; Mammalia; Rodentia; Cricetidae. The record is from RNAcentral.